Molecule: ribosomal RNA, 292 nt
Filed under: uncultured bacterium
Lineage: Bacteria
Description: partial 16S ribosomal RNA
Rfam family: Bacterial small subunit ribosomal RNA
Source: RNAcentral
GUGCCAGCCGCCGCGGUAAUACGGAGGGUGCAAGCGUUAAUCGGAAUUACUGGGCGUAAAGCGCACGUAGGUUGUCUGUUAAGUUGGAUGUGAAAGCCCAGGGCUCAACCUUGGAACUGCAUCCAAAACUGGCAGACUAGAGUAUGGUAGAGGUGAGUGGAAUUUCCUGUGUAGCGGUGAAAUGCGUAGAGAUGGGAAGGAACAUCAGUGGCGAAGGCGACUCACUGGACCAAUACUGACACUGAGGUGCGAAAGCGUGGGUAGCAAACAGGAUUAGAAACCCGAGUAGUCC